CGUAGGGUGCAAGCGUUAAUCGGAAUUACUGGGCGUAAAGCGUGUGUAGGCGGUUCGGAAAGAAAGAUGUGAAAUCCCAGGGCUCAACCUUGGAACUGCAUUUUUAACUGCCGAGCUAGAGUAUGUCAGAGGGGGGUAGAAUUCCACGUGUAGCAGUGAAAUGCGUAGAUAUGUGGAGGAAUACCGAUGGCGAAGGCAGCCCCCUGGGAUAAUACUGACGCUCAGACACGAAAGCGUGGGGAGCAAACAGGAUUAGAUACCCUGGUAGUCCACGCCCUAAACGAUGUCAACUAGCUGUUGGGGCCGUUAGGCCUUAGUAGCGCAGCUAACGCGUGAAGUUGACCGCCUGGGGAGUACGGUCGCAAGAUUAAAACUCAAAGGAAUUGACGGGGACCCGCACAAGCGGUGGAUGAUGUGGAUUAAUUCGAUGCAACGCGAAAAACCUUACCUACCCUUGACAUGUCUGGAAUGCCGAAGAGAUUUGGCAGUGCUCGCAAGAGAACCGGAACACAGGUGCUGCAUGGCUGUCGUCAGCUCGUGUCGUGAGAUGUUGGGUUAAGUCCCGCAACGAGCGCAACCCUUGUCAUUAGUUGCUACGCAAGAGCACUCUAAUGAGACUGCCGGUGACAAACCGGAGGAAGGUGGGGAUGACGUCAAGUCCUCAUGGCCCUUAUGGGUAGGGCUUCACACGUCAUACAAUGGUCGGGACGGAGGGUCGCCAACCCGCGAGGGGGAGCCAAUCUCAGAAACCCGAUCGUAGUCCGGAUCGCAGUCUGCAACUCGACUGCGUGAAGUCGGAAUCGCUAGUAAUCGCGGAUCAGAAUGUCGCGGUGAAUACGUUCCCGGGUCUUGUACACACCGCCCGUCACACCAUGGGAGUGGGUUUCACCAGAAGUAGGUAGCCUAACCGUAAGGAGGGCGCUUACCACGGUGGGAUUCAUGACCGGGGUGAAGUCGUAACAAGGUAACCGAAGGG
This 976-nucleotide ribosomal RNA is filed under the name uncultured bacterium. Its description in RNAcentral is "bacterial SSU rRNA". It matches the Rfam family "Bacterial small subunit ribosomal RNA", at positions 526 to 1507 of the family's 1533-position model. The record is from RNAcentral.